GUCAUGCCGGGUCGAACAGGAUCAGUCGGCGUCGUCACAGACGCGUGCAGUAAACAUUGAAAUUGAAAUAAGUUUAUUGAGGUAAAAUACACACAAAGGGAUGAGGUAGCUCAAGCUAUUCUCACCCCGUUCAGUACAUCGUGUUAAUAUAUACAUAUAAACACAUCACAAACAAUAAACAUAUUACCAAACAUUCUGAGAGAUAAACAUCUACAUUUCCUAUAAACAUUGAACGUCUCUAGCUAUAUAUCUUGGGAUAUGUGUGAAUAUGCUAAUUAUUAUUUUAACGGGGAGUCAGGUAUAUAUGUUUCACGUUACAUUAAAUACACAGAGUACAUGUAAAUGAAAGAUGGAGAGGUUCUAAUGGAAUCUGCGAGGAACAAAAGGACCUCCACUACCAGAAAUGUAAUCAAGUACGCUAAGUUUGGUAAGUGUAGGCACUAAACGCAAGUGAUUCUAAUCAUUCCACCGCCAACCACUGAAUGAUUGGAAGUGGGUGGGGUGGAGCGGGGUGUGAAUAAGUAAAUCAAAUUACGAAACUUUCUCACCGCAAAUGUAAGAUGCCUGGCUUAGAGCCUGUACGUGUGGUCGUUCUCGAUUCUAUUGUUGAUAUAUGCAUUAAACUGCGCAGCUACCUUCAAGACUGUAACUUGCUUAGCUAUAUAAGUAUUUUGUGGUUUAAUUUUUGAGCCCAUUAUAUGCCUCUAGCCAUUUCCAUUACCGCCCACGGAAUGGGUAUGAGGGGGAAUAGGAAAUUAACUAAAUUAAAUUUUAAAAUGAUCUUUUUAGUGUAUAUACAAUAUUAAAAUGUUUCAUAUUUCUACUAUUCGAGUCAA
Molecule: non-coding RNA, 836 nt
Organism: Procambarus clarkii (red swamp crayfish)
Lineage: Eukaryota; Metazoa; Arthropoda; Malacostraca; Decapoda; Cambaridae
Source: RefSeq, a predicted model, not a curated record